RNAcentral lists this transfer RNA (87 nucleotides) under Pseudomonas aeruginosa. RNAcentral's name for it is "tRNA-Leu". It matches the Rfam family "tRNA". From Rfam's summary of the family: Transfer RNA (tRNA) molecules are approximately 80 nucleotides in length. Their secondary structure includes four short double-helical elements and three loops (D, anti-codon, and T loops). The record is from RNAcentral. Lineage: Bacteria; Pseudomonadati; Pseudomonadota; Gammaproteobacteria; Pseudomonadales; Pseudomonadaceae.
GCCCGGAUGGCGAAAUCGGUAGACGCAAGGGACUUAAAAUCCCUCGGGGGUAACCCCGUGCCGGUUCGAGCCCGGCUCCGGGCACCA